RNAcentral lists this ribosomal RNA (299 nucleotides) under uncultured Pseudomonadota bacterium. Its description in RNAcentral is "uncultured proteobacterium partial 16S ribosomal RNA". It matches the Rfam family "Bacterial small subunit ribosomal RNA", at positions 29 to 351 of the family's 1533-position model. Lineage: Bacteria; Pseudomonadati; Pseudomonadota. The record is from RNAcentral.
AAUGAACGCUGGCGGCAGGCCUAACACAUGCAAGUCGAACGGGUCCUUCGGGACUAGUGGCGGACGGGUGAGUAACGCGUGGGAACAUACCCUUUGGUACGGAAUAGCCUCGGGGAAACUGGGUGUAAUACCGUAUGUGCCCCUUCGGGGGAAAGAUUUAUCGCCAAAGGAUUGGCCCGCGUUGGAUUAGGUAGUUGGUGGGGUAAUGGCCUACCAAGCCGACGAUCCAUAGCUUGGUUUGAGAGGAUGAAUCAGCCACACUGGGACUGAGACACGGCCCAGACUCCUACGGGUGGCAG